AGGUGGGAAACAUUGAAAAUGUCUCUGAAAAAUCCCAGUGUUGAGUGUUACCCAGGAUCGAACCCGGGAGCUCAGGAGUGACAGCCAGUGGUCUCACCAACUGAGCUAUAGCGCCACCUAAUUUCAUACAUGUGAUAUCCCGGCGGGAUUUUAAAAAAUCCCGAUAUUUCGACACUGAUCCCGAUUCCCGAUAUUACAGCUUGAAUUCCCGAUAUUUAAAAAAAAAUCAACAUAAAAAAAAUCAAACACAGCACCUGUAUCUAAAAUGUAAACCGUGCCUCCGGGCAUUGAUUGUUAUCUGUCCAUAUCCUAAAUUAUAGCGGAUUAAAUGUUGAGUCGCCAAUUGACAGCAAGGUGACGUAAUAACCCAAAGUUAUACUUAACACGUGUCGUGUGUGUCAGUCAAUUGACCUCUUUUAUAAAUUGCCAGUAGGUAUUACACGCUAAUGUCAUCAAAACGACCCUGUAAAUUUACAUGUAUGAAUUCGGCUCAACCUUUGAUUUUCUUUGAUAAGUGCCGCACUGAUAAAGAUUAAAGGUGAGCAGAAUCAUUUAAAGUGGAUCAUUCAAACACCUGUUUAAGAAGCGGCAAGACCAUGUCUUAUUAACCUAUUUUUAGUGAGUGGGUAAUUUUUUUGUUUUGUUUAGGAAUUACACAAUCAUCGCGGCAGAAAUGUGGAUUUAAUUAACAGAAGGAUUCUUGCAUUUAUUUUGAGUCUUCUACUUACAUUACAUUAUUUAACUGUUAGAGUCUUAUGUUCAUGAACAGUGUUCAAUCUAGAGCGCUCCAUUGCGCCAUUGACCCCCUGACGCCGGCGCAAAACAAAUUCAACUGUGGGCCCGACGGGUGCACUCAUAGAAAAUGCCAUUAAUGACAUUAGAAUGCUUUCUUAAACCUGAUUAAGUACAUAAAAAGUUUCUUGUGAAUAAUAUUAAUAAAUACUGAAUUCAAAACUGAAGUUUGUAUAGAAAAACAUGAGCAUGUUGGUAAGAUAGUUACCCCACUCGGUAACCCUUUUAAAACCUUGAGCGCUACGCUCUCUCGGUCCAGGUCUGUAAAUACCAUGCAGACCUGUUUUUCGUACUGUAACUAUUACUUACUUUUGAGUCACAGUUUUUAUAAACAAAACAAAUCGUCACAGAUAAUCCAAUACGUGCAUGUAGUUGUUUUUUAACGGUCAAAACAAAUAAAUAUGCAAUAACUUUCCGGAGGAAAAAAACUAUAUAUUUGUGAAAAAGUGCGAGUUAAUUAUAGAGGUGUGCAUAAGUUAUUACGAACACGCCUUCAACCAAUUAAAAAAGUCUUAAAGAUGGAGCUAAUCAAACACGAUUGGCUAGGGAGUGUCUGACAAUUGAGUAAAUAAACUUUGAUUGGUCUUUGGCUGGUCGGCGCUAAAACAUUGUGCAUAUCAAUAAUCAAUACAGACAUCUUAAGCGUGACGUAAGAACUGCUGCCCUGACAAAAGAUCAAAGGUACCGGUAUGUCAAUAUACAUUGUCUUAGCACCUGUUGACACUUUGUUUUUAGCUCGGAUAUAUUGAGAAGGGUAAAUGUUUUUAGCCACUAUUGUAAGUUUAUAAGCUAAUUGCAAAAUAUGAUUUUCCUUUAUUUAUCAGGCGCUGAUUCAAAAACUGAACAUUGUUAUCAAAUAUCCCUGGUAACAUUUAAAUAAGAUUCAUAUGUUUCUUUGAACAUUAUGUCAUUGUAUCUUUACCAAUCAGUUCUUAAAAUUGAGCCUGCAUCAACGCUAACAGAACUCUCGAAAAAGGUCCAAAUAAUGUCAUUUUUUAGUUGAGUUAAUUAUUCUUUCACAGUAAAGAUGCAAUUCAUUUUUUUGUGUGUGUUUUUUUUUUGUGAGGGAUAUAUAGACAUUUAUAACUAGGCGUUUUUUCCAUGUUAAAUAUUAUCAAUUUAGACUUGAGAAUCUACACAAAAUGACCUCCAAUACAGUAAUAUUUGUAGCAUAAAAAUGAUUCACACUAAAAAAAAAUAUUAUUUGACUUGUGAAAAUUUUGGCGAAAGAGUUCUUGGACUCGUGAAAUUCUGACCCUACUGAGAGCCCUGGCUUGAUAUUUACCAGCAUCCUUUGAUCAAAUUAUGCAGAUGCUUGAAAUUGACAACAUCUAAAUGUCAGAUCUAUUCAUUUCUAAUCACUUUCACAUGUGCUGUUAAAAAUGUGACCGUGGGACUUCUGGACAUUGUGCUUAUGUGUAUCAUAAUACAAUGCUGAGGUAUUGAUCAUAUUAAGGGACUUAAUGGGUUCAAAUACCUGGAGUCGAUGCAUCUCAGGGAUUUCUUCCAGGAUUUUGGGAACAUGACCUAUACCCAUGAUAUUGGGAAUUUCAGCGGUGUUUUGUUAAAACUUGGGAAAAAUGCAUUAAAGACUGAAAUUUUGCAGUGAUUAAAUGGAUGUAAAGAAUUACUGUCUAGGAUGGCAUCUUCAAACAUUUAAGCACUAUUACAGUGAAGAAGCCCUUAUUUUCAAAGAUUUUAGAAUUUUUAUUCAAUAUUUUUAUUUUGUAACUUUCAAUUUGGAAUUUUUUCCUGUGGAUUGGGAAAAUAAUAUACUAUUUUCAAUUGGGAAUAUGACCCAAUAACAGCUAUAAAAUAAGCCAAAAAAAUCCCUGCAUCUCCUAGCUCCAGCAGGUGAGGUGGUUUGACCCCUGAUGUUGCUUUGAAGUCUGUAACACCAGAGGUUAGCUAAAAUCAUCUUUUCUGUUUUGGCGCAAUACCACCUAUACUGUGUGUUGCGCCAUAACACUGAAACAAACAAACAUCUGUGUUUAAAUUGUUAAAUAAAAUUAUUAUUGAAAUGUGAAUUUUUUUGUACAUAUUAUAUGUUUGUAUCAUUUUAGACUGAACAUUUUGAUGUCUGAGGGAAGAACUACAGCGUUAUGGCAACUGGAGCUCCUCUGUCACUGCGUUACCACAGUGACCAGCUCAACAAUAAAGUGGUGUCUGUAAUGAGAGAAUUUUAUCAGACAGGGGAGUUCUGUGAUGUCAUACUUCACACUGGAAAUAUUAAAAUACACGCACAUAGGAUUGUGCUGGCUGCAUUUAGUCCUUAUUUCAGAGAUUUAUUCCACGAGCCUGACAACAA
This is a long non-coding RNA of Ruditapes philippinarum (Manila clam), 3100 nucleotides long. RefSeq lists it as uncharacterized. Lineage: Eukaryota; Metazoa; Mollusca; Bivalvia; Venerida; Veneridae. The record is from RefSeq and is a predicted model, not a curated record. The transcript has 3 exons.